GAGGGAAGAGAGUCCUCCAGGGAAGGGCUUUCCUGGCCAUGGCUGUAGGGACCCUGGGCACAGAGACCAGUCUGCUGCAGGCAGCCAGCCUGGCCUGGUCAGCCUGUCUCAGGGGUGGAGGGCGGAGGGUGGAGGUGACGCGACCUCUCCCACUGGGCCAGGGAUUGGGCAGAACAAGAAGCAGUCAGGACCCUUGGUGCUCCUCAUCCCAGGCCCUCCCCACCCUGGACACGCUGGCUUCCACUUCUGCUACGGCUCCAUCCACGGUCUUUCUACCAGCACCGUGGGCCUGCACACGGGGAGGUCAGUGUCUGAGAUGCUCUUGCAGCCCAAAGCAGUCCCACAGUCAACACUGGUCACUGCAGAGCGAUGUGGACAGGGACAGGGAGGAGGACGUGGGAAGCGCAUGCUUAGUGAGCGCCAACUGCGUUCCAGGCCUGGUGCCAGAUCCCCGGAAUGUGAGUGGCCCUGAGUCUCGCUGCCAGCUGCCAGCGAUCCCUCUAGCUCAGUCCUCUUCACUGAAGGCCUGGCGUUGGAAGCAGCCUGCACUGCCCCUGAGCGCGAGCACUGCAGCAUAGUAACAGUAGCAACCGGACCACACUGUAGCAACACUCAGGGCCUGGAUGCCUUCACAGACGUCUUCUUCCAACCUGCCAGCUCUUCACACACCUGCCCUGUACAAAGCCAGGAACCCACCUGCCACACAAGAAAGUGCAUCCCGCAGGACUUAGGUCUCCACACAUCCCUUGUCCAGAGGGAGCACACCUGAGAGCUCAGUCUUUGCAAUUGCAGUUUAUCAAUCCACAUUACAGGUUGAGCUCCUACCUGAAUGAAUCGCAAAGUGCCCUGAUGACUUGAAGCAAUUAUGCCUUUGAGUCAAUCUCCUUCAUCAAUUACUGGG
Molecule: long non-coding RNA, 901 nt
Filed under: Heterocephalus glaber (naked mole-rat)
Lineage: Eukaryota; Metazoa; Chordata; Mammalia; Rodentia; Bathyergidae
Description: lncRNA (ENSHGLG00000038785.1)
Source: RNAcentral